Molecule: long non-coding RNA, 516 nt
Organism: Capra hircus (goat)
Lineage: Eukaryota; Metazoa; Chordata; Mammalia; Artiodactyla; Bovidae
Exons: 3
Source: RefSeq, a predicted model, not a curated record
UCAGAACUGCAGAUAGUACAGGCUUCAGAGCCGCCAGAGAUGCCUGUGCACAAGUGCCUGAGUUCCGAGGGACUUUGGAAACACUUGGCUAUCCCCCUCCUGCCUGGACCCCAGGACUCUGCACCUGCAGGACAGACAGUCUGGCCACCGCCUCUGCCGUGCCUCCAGGGACGUGGAACCAGCACAGAUAACCGUUUGGAAAUGGGAUCAUGGCAAAAUUACCAACAAGUCCAUAAAGGAAACUGAAGGCAGUUUGAUCUACGCCUUCAAUGACAGUCCCACAAAGGUUGAAGAAAUACGUUACGUCUCCAAAGACAUAUGCCUCUAAAGAACACAGUCAUGCCCUAAAAUUAGGACAAGAUUCAGGGACUCCAAAUUCAGUGAAACAGCAUAAAGAUCUGAGUUGUCUCUAUUACUGCCAUAAUUUACAAGCCUGUGUGGUAAGUUGCUUCAGUCGUGUCUGACUCUGCGUGACCCUAUGGAUGGCAGUCUGCCAGACUCCACUGUCCAUGGGAU